AUGACUCCUCCUCCCCCCCCCCCGGUCUCGUCCUGCCUGGCUGAGCCCGGCCGAAAUGCGCCCGUUGGAUGCUCGCGGUGGCCACGGGCCCCCGGUACCCCCCCGGUACCGCCCGACCCCAAAUGUCCCCGAGCCCGCGGUCACACCAAAUUGUGCCAAAUCCCAGCGGGGGCUGUGGGGGCAACUCCCGGCUCCCUCCGAUGGGAACGGGAGCGGAGCACCGAGCGCGGGCAGGCCGGGCACCGGGGUGGGGAACCGGGGCCGGGCACCGGUUCCUCGCACCUCGGCCGCGCACCGGGGCCGCGCACCGGAGCUCCCCUCGGAGCCGUGCCCGGCGGCGGGGCCGCAUUGCGGGGCCGCUCCGUGCCCGAGCAGCACCCGCAGCUUCUCGCCUCGGCGGGGCCGCCCGGGCUCUGGGGAGCCAAAAUCACGGGAAUUAAAAAGAAAACGCGGCCCCAAACGGAGGCGUUAAAGCCCGGCCCCGCCGUGCAGACCGGGCACACCGGGCCCUUCCCGGGAGCCCCGGGGGCGAGCAGAUGCCGGUCCCCCCCCUUCCUCCCGCAGCCCCCCUGGGGGUCCCGGCGCCUGCCCCCCCAUCCCCUUUCCGGUGGGCUCCCGCCUUUCGCCGCCGCAUCUCCGGGUCCCGGUGCCGGUACCGGCCCCAAACACCGGCUCCUCGCCCCCUUGGCGGCCCCGCCGCAGUCGCCGGCCGCCCGGAGCCCCCCCGGCUCCGAGCCCCCCGCCCCGGGGCUUUUCCCGCAGAGAAACCGUUCCCGUCCCGGGGCCGGGCGGCGGCCGUCGGAAGAGGCUCCGCUCCCCCGCGGGCACCGGCGAGGGCCGGGGCCGGGGUCGGCGGGGCUUUGGGGGGGCUCGGGGAGGCCACGAGCACCUCGGGGGGGCCCCGCUGCCCCGGCCGGGCCCGGUUCGUCGGGGCAGGGCCGGAGCCGCUUCCCGUCGGGCCGCUUCCAACCCCGGCCGGGGCCGUCCGUGCCCGCUGCCCCGAAAACACCGGAUUUUCCCCCAAAUCCGUGGGGCCGCGGGGGCACGGCGCACGCUGCCCCCACGCGAGUUUUCUCCCUGAAGCGGCUUCCCCGAGGGAACCCGAGGGCUCCGUGCCCGCACUCCCGGUGCCGGUGCCCGGUGCCUGCAGCCGGCGGGGCCGGGGGGAGCGGCGCCGUGUGCCCGGGAGCCCGCUCCGCGUCUCGGGGUCGCGGCCGGCGGGGGAUGAGCCCCGGUGGCGGGGACGGUGAAGGGACCGGCGGCGGUUGGCCGAGGCAGGCGGCUGGGCACGGCGCCCGCUCAGCACCGCCGCGGCGGACAGCUCCGUGCCGCGCACCGGCACCGGGCACCGGGAACCGGGCACCGGGCAUCAGGCACCGGGUACCGGUUACCGGGCACCGAGCACCGGGAACCGGGCACCGGGCACCGGGCACCGGGCACCGGGAACCGGGCAUCGGGCACCGGGCACCGGGCACCGGGCACCAGGCACCGGGCACCGCGCAGCGGGCACCGGGUACCGGGUACCGGGAACCGGGCACCGAGCACCGAGCACCGGGCACCGGGCACCAGGCACCGGGCACCGCGCAGCGGGCACCGUGCCGAGCCUUCGAGCCGACCGGGCACCGGGGCGGCCACAAAGGACCCGGCCUGGCCACCGCCACCGGGCACCGCGCCGGGGCCACCGGCACCGCGGACCGAUGCCAGCCGCGGGCAGCGAACCAAGGCCAGCUCAGAGCCGCCGUCCCCGGGGGAGCGGAGCGGUGCCACCGCCCGGGCUGCCCGCCGCGGCUCACCGGUGGCCGCGGGGCCGGGUCCGAGCGGGGUCCGCGGCUCCGGUUCCCGGUGCCUUUAUUGGCGGGGGGGGGACACCGCCUCCCCGGUCCCGGGGGGGACACCCGUGGGGCAGAGCCGCGUUAUAUCAGCGCCUCCCCACCGCGGGCCGCGCACUCGGGCACGGCGGAGCGGCGGAGCGGUCCCGGGGCCGGUCCCGGGGCCAGGCACGGGGCGGGGGUCGUUCCGCCGCCCCCCCCACCUCGCUCCCCGUUAUCCCCUUCUCCGUGCCCCGGGGCGGGCGGGUCGGAAGGAAAGCGGCGAAGUCGGCGGAGUCAACAUUGA
Molecule: long non-coding RNA, 2115 nt
Filed under: Anas platyrhynchos platyrhynchos (common mallard)
Lineage: Eukaryota; Metazoa; Chordata; Aves; Anseriformes; Anatidae
Description: lncRNA (ENSAPLG00000029265.1)
Source: RNAcentral